AGAAUCAACGCUGGCGGCGUGCCUCAGACAUGCAAGUCGAACGCGAAAGUCCCCUUCGGGGGACAAGUAGAGUGGCGCACGGGUGAGUAACACGUAGGUAAUCUACCUUCGGAUGGGGAAUAACAACCGGAAACGGUUGCUAAUACCGCAUAAUGCAGCGGCACCUAAUGGUGACAGUUGUUAAAGCGGGGGAUCGAAAGACCUCGCGUCUGAAGAGGAGCCUGCGGCGGAUUAGCUAGUUGGUAGGGUAACGGCCUACCAAGGCGACGAUCC
This 273-nucleotide ribosomal RNA is filed under the name uncultured soil bacterium. RNAcentral's name for it is "partial 16S ribosomal RNA". It matches the Rfam family "Bacterial small subunit ribosomal RNA", at positions 26 to 282 of the family's 1533-position model. The record is from RNAcentral.